RNAcentral lists this ribosomal RNA (930 nucleotides) under human gut metagenome. RNAcentral describes it as "bacterial LSU rRNA". It matches the Rfam family "Bacterial large subunit ribosomal RNA", at positions 2001 to 2925 of the family's 2925-position model. The record is from RNAcentral.
GUAAUGAUGGCCAGGCUGUCUCCACCCGAGACUCAGUGAAAUUGAACUCGCUGUGAAGAUGCAGUGUACCCGCGGCAAGACGGAAAGACCCCGUGAACCUUUACUAUAGCUUGACACUGAACAUUGAGCCUUGAUGUGUAGGAUAGGUGGGAGGCUUUGAAGUGUGGACGCCAGUCUGCAUGGAGCCGGCCUUGAAAUACCACCCUUUAAUGUUUGAUGUUCUAACGUUGGCCCCUGACCGGGGUUGCGGACAGUGUCUGGUGGGUAGUUUGACUGGGGCGGUCUCCUCCUAAAGAGUAACGGAGGAGCACGAAGGUUGGCUAAUCCUGGUCGGACAUCAGGAGGUUAGUGCAAUGGCAUAAGCCAGCUUGACUGCGAGCGUGACGGCGCGAGCAGGUGCGAAAGCAGGUCAUAGUGAUCCGGUGGUUCUGAAUGGAAGGGCCAUCGCUCAACGGAUAAAAGGUACUCCGGGGAUAACAGGCUGAUACCGCCCAAGAGUUCAUAUCGACGGCGGUGUUUGGCACCUCGAUGUCGGCUCAUCACAUCCUGGGGCUGAAGUAGGUCCCAAGGGUAUGGCUGUUCGCCAUUUAAAGUGGUACGCGAGCUGGGUUUAGAACGUCGUGAGACAGUUCGGUCCCUAUCUGCCGUGGGCGCUGGAGAACUGAGGGGGGCUGCUCCUAGUACGAGAGGACCGGAGUGGACGCAUCACUGGUGUUCGGGUUGUCAUGCCAAUGGCACUGCCCGGUAGCUAAAUGCGGAAGAGAUAAGUGCUGAAAGCAUCUAAGCACGAAACUUGCCCCGAGAUGAGUUCUCCCUGACUCCUUGAGAGUCCUGAAGGAACGUUGAAGACGACGACGUUGAUAGGCCGGGUGUGUAAGCGCAGCGAUGCGUUGAGCUAACCGGUACUAAUGAACCGUGAGGCUUAACCUU